Molecule: long non-coding RNA, 1452 nt
Organism: Odontomachus brunneus
Lineage: Eukaryota; Metazoa; Arthropoda; Insecta; Hymenoptera; Formicidae
Exons: 3
Source: RefSeq, a predicted model, not a curated record
UGGAUGCGCUCAGCGUAACGUCAGUGCGUGCGGUGCACCGCGGUGGAUAUAAUCGUAUAAGGUAGAGGGUAGACGACGCCUUAGAUGGUUUCAAAUACAGCGGCAGCGGCAGCAAGCCAGACUCACUUGGUGAGUGCAACUUGGUCCGUCUAGGCAAAAACUAGGAUAGGCCUAGAUGGCUCUUCGUAGCUCGGUCAAGAUGCCCAACGACGGCAUGGAGAAAAACGCAACGGCGAUCACGUGGCGUAGAGAAAGAGAGAAGAAGACGAGAUUCCUAAAAUGUUCAAGACCAUCGGGCUUAUAAAAACUUCUGGUUUCGAACAAUAUUAGAAAAAAACUCGAGACUCUCGUCACCUGUCUAAGGUGAUUCGAUGUGCUUGAGCCCAUCACUAGACGCGCGUAUACGCACGCACGACGUACGCGUCACUGAAGAAAGAAGCUGGAGAGGAGAGAAGCACGCGAAAGACAGAGAGAGACGCGGCUAAACCUUGGAAGGAGAGACGCGGGAGAAGCAAAUACUGCCGGGAUAGUGUACCGCGUACAGCUGCAUCAUGCCGCAAAAGCUUCAAGGAAGCUUCUUACAGCAUUACACGUGGAUGUGCGAUUGCGAAGGAUGCAAAAUCAGGUGAAUCAAGACAGCACAGACCUAAUCCUUUGUGCGACGGUGCGAGGAACGCGCUGCAUCAUCCAUUUGGAUAGGGUGUAUGUAUACUGGAGAAAAACUAGGAGAGGCAUAUGCGUAUAUGUCCGGUUUUUACAUAAAUAAGUAUGGCUUUUCUUUUUUUAUAUACCACGAUGUAGAGCCGCGUUGUUGUAUGCGUAAUAGCAAAAGAUAUAUGAGCUCGCAUCUUUUUAUAUACGCUUAAUCGCCUUGAAUAUUAAUAAGAUUUAUUAGUCUGGUCCUUGGUAUUUACUGAAUAUAUACUGACAUCUGAAAACACGUUUCCUUCGCAUUACUGCAUUGCGAGCGCGUAACGUAAUUAAUAUUCACCUAUCGGUCGACAUUAAAGAGAAUUGCGUAUACAAAAAGAAUUAGAUUAAAAAAAUUAAUUUUGUGUGUGAGAUCUGAAAAUAAAUUCCAGUCUCCUGUUGAUAUCGAGAACAUAAUAUUUAUUUUGUGAACAAUUAUUUUUAAUUACCGAUAUCAAUGUAUAAAUUAGACCUUUCACAAACGUUGGUUGGACCGUGAAAGCAUGUCAAGGAAAGUCAUCCACAUAAGAACGUAUUAUUAUUUCGCAAGUCGUUCUGUAAGCGAUGUAAGUUAUGCAGUUUAGAACUGGAUCGUGUCCAUGUGAUGUUGACCUCUUCAAGGGAGCUAUUAUGGGAUCAUUUACGAUUCCGACUGGAAAGGUAAAUAUUUUCUAUUGGCGAGUUUCCGAGUCUGUGAUUUCAUGAUUACAAUAAUUUCGGCGGUACAGUUGAAUGAUUAUUUAUAUACUAUAGUCUUAUUAU